RNAcentral lists this ribosomal RNA (235 nucleotides) under uncultured bacterium. RNAcentral describes it as "partial 16S ribosomal RNA". It matches the Rfam family "Bacterial small subunit ribosomal RNA", at positions 15 to 233 of the family's 1533-position model. The record is from RNAcentral.
GAUCAUGGCUCAGGAUGAACGCUGGCGGCGUGCCUAACACAUGCAAGUCAACGGAGCUGAUUUGAUGAGAUCUUCGGAUGGAUUUAAAAACAGCUUAGUGGCGGACGGGUGAGUAACGCGUGGGUAACCUGCCUCACACUGGGGGAUAACAGUUAGAAAUAGCUGCUAAUACCGCAUAAGCGCACGGUUCCGCAUGGAACAGUGUGAAAAACUCCGGUGGUGUGAGAUGGACCCG